GAAAGAGCUUGCAUGGUUGAUGUCUUGUUCGAUUUUUUUUUCUAUGGUGCUAAUCUAAGUCUUGAGUAGUUCCAAGGAUGGAAAGGUUGGUCGACAAUGGCAGCGCUGAAGGUUUGGUGUUUCUGUGGAGUGCCGAGUCAAAGUCUAAUGGGUUGAAAAUCCAAUGUGCCUGGGAUUUGUCUUUUGGGCUUUAGAUCCUAUUAGGAUGCUGAGUUUGGAUUCAAUCAGACUUUUUUAACUUGGACCCUUU
RNAcentral lists this unclassified non-coding RNA (250 nucleotides) under Hevea brasiliensis (rubber tree). Lineage: Eukaryota; Viridiplantae; Streptophyta; Magnoliopsida; Malpighiales; Euphorbiaceae. The record is from RNAcentral.